UGGACCAAUGAUAAUGACUGUGGCGGAGGAGUUAUGGACAUUGAAUAAUCUGGAACUGUGAGGUGCAA
This is a non-coding RNA of Myotis davidii, 68 nucleotides long. Lineage: Eukaryota; Metazoa; Chordata; Mammalia; Chiroptera; Vespertilionidae. The record is from Rfam.